RNAcentral lists this small RNA (100 nucleotides) under Actinoplanes friuliensis. Its description in RNAcentral is "Guanidine-I sequence". It matches the Rfam family "Guanidine-I riboswitch aptamer". From Rfam's summary of the family: This family represents a conserved RNA structure found upstream of the ykkC and yxkD genes in Bacillus subtilis and related genes in other bacteria. The function of this family is unclear although it has been suggested that it may function to switch on efflux pumps and detoxification systems in response to harmful environmental molecules. The record is from RNAcentral. RNAcentral also lists the same sequence under 1 other name. Lineage: Bacteria; Bacillati; Actinomycetota; Actinomycetes; Micromonosporales; Micromonosporaceae.
GUGAGGCGCGCCUAGGGUUCCGCCGCGGUGAGCGGGCUGGUCCGAGAGACGCAGGUGCCCGCGUGCGGGCGCUCCACGGCGGGAUAAAAGCCCGGGAGAA